GGUGUCAUUGUCAGAUUUCGUGAUCUUGUUACUUUUCUUUAUGGAUCUAAGUAGAUUUCACGUUAUUUAAAAUGUAUUUUUUUAAAAGCCGUAUCAUAGUAAUUGUUGUCAUAUCUAUAUACGUGCUUUCUCACGAUAUUUCGCUCUUUUGCGGAGUUUCAGCAAAAUCUUGCUUACCUCAAGGCCUGCAAAUAAAGAUUUUGGAUUCAUCUCCGGUUUCAGCUAACGCCACCGCAUCGGUUCUUUUGCGGGGCCAGCACGGGAUAUUCGCUUGUACGGCGAUAUCGCAAGAAGCACCGCAAAGCCGAAUAGUAUGCCGUUCACUUCACCUAACGCCUUCUGUACCUGCUCAUAAUCACAAAGACGGCAUAGUUUGGGAUGUUAGCACAAUCAAUGGUCGGAUAACCGAUUUCCAGGUUACCAGUCGGAACGUGUCAGACUUGAUAAUUGCCGUCGUGCAGGACCAACCAGCAGUCCUGCUUUCCGCCAGCGCAGUUAGUCCCACG
Molecule: long non-coding RNA, 506 nt
Organism: Paramacrobiotus metropolitanus
Lineage: Eukaryota; Metazoa; Tardigrada; Eutardigrada; Parachela; Macrobiotidae
Exons: 4
Source: RefSeq, a predicted model, not a curated record